RNAcentral lists this ribosomal RNA (457 nucleotides) under uncultured bacterium. RNAcentral's name for it is "partial 16S ribosomal RNA". It matches the Rfam family "Bacterial small subunit ribosomal RNA", at positions 28 to 523 of the family's 1533-position model. The record is from RNAcentral.
GAUGAACGCUGGCGGCGUGCCUAAUACAUGCAAGUCGAGCGGUAAGGCCCUUCGGGGUACACGAGCGGCGGACGGCUGAGUAACACGUAGGAACGUACCCCAAACUGAGGGAUAAGCACCAGAAAUGGUGUCUAAUACCGCAUGUGGCCCACGGGCUAAAGCUCCGGCGGUUUGGGAACGGCCUGCGUCCGAUUAGCUAGUUGGUAGAGUAAUAGCCUACCAAGGCGACGAUCGGUAGCUGGUCUGAGAGGAUGAUCAGCCAGACUGGGACUGAGACACGGCCCAGACUCCUACGGGAGGCAGCAGUAGGGAAUUUUCCACAAUGGGCGAAUGCCUGAUGGAGCAACGCCGCGUGCAGGAUGAAGGCCUUCGGGUUGUAAACUGCUUUUAUAUGUGACGAUUAUGACGGUAGCAUAUGAAUAAGGACCUGCUAACUACGUGCCAGCAGCCGCUGUAA